This 517-nucleotide ribosomal RNA is filed under the name uncultured bacterium. Its description in RNAcentral is "partial 16S ribosomal RNA". It matches the Rfam family "Bacterial small subunit ribosomal RNA", at positions 29 to 523 of the family's 1533-position model. The record is from RNAcentral.
AACGAACGCUGGCGGCGUGCUUAACACAUGCAAGUCGAACGUGAUCCGGAGCUUGCUCCGGUGAAAGUGGCGCACGGGUGAGUAACGCGUGGAUAACCUGCCCUGGUAUCUGGGAUAACAUCUCGAAAGGGGUGCUAAUACCGGAUAAGCCCUCGGGUCCCUCGGGAUCUGCGGGAAAAGGUGGCCUCUGUCUCAAGCUACCGUAUCAGGAUGGGACCGCGUACCAUUAGCUAGUUGGUAGGGUAAUGGCCUACCAAGGCGACGAUGGUUAGCUGGUCUGAGAGGAGGAUCAGCCACACUGGAACUGGGACACCGUCCAGACUCCUACGGGAGGCAGCAGUGGGGAAUUUUGCGCAAUGGGGGAAACCCUGACGCAGCAACGCCGCGUGAGUGAUGAAGGCCUUCGGGUCGUAAAGCUCUGUCAGAGGGGAAGAAAUGACGAGGUGCUAAUACCAUCUCUUCUUGACGGUACCCUCAAAGGAAGCACCGGCUAACUCCGUGCCAGCAGCCGCGGUAA